Molecule: ribosomal RNA, 262 nt
Filed under: uncultured bacterium
Lineage: Bacteria
Description: partial 16S ribosomal RNA
Rfam family: Bacterial small subunit ribosomal RNA
Source: RNAcentral
CCACGCCCUAAACGAUGUAUACUAGUUGUUGCUUUGCUAGUCAAGGCAGUAAUGCACCUAACGGAUUAAGUAUACCGCCUGGGGAGUACGGUCGCAAGAUUAAAACUCAAAGGAAUAGACGGGGACCCGCACAAGCGGUGGAGCAUGUGGUUUAAUUCGAAGAUACGCGAAGAACCUUACCUGGACUUGACAUCCUAAAAACAUCUAAGAGAUUAGAAAGUGCCAGUUCGCUGGAAUUUAGUGACAGGUGCUGCACGGCUGU